This 296-nucleotide unclassified non-coding RNA is filed under the name Hevea brasiliensis (rubber tree). Lineage: Eukaryota; Viridiplantae; Streptophyta; Magnoliopsida; Malpighiales; Euphorbiaceae. The record is from RNAcentral.
AUCAGAGAUUCAUGAGAACUAGAUAACCUACAAGACAAUCCCUAAUGGCAAAGAAGGGUAGAUCAAACUCCUGAAGCUUGAAAACACAAAUGUAGCAACAGAUACUGAACUAAACUGUACAACAGAAAGUUCAAUUAGAUGGAGAAUCCCUUGAGUGGAGCAAAUUUGGUCAAUAUCUCGACUUCCUUCUCUGCCGAUUUUUGUUUCUUGAGUUUCCAUUCUGAGCUUUCGGAGUUAGCCACCUGAAUUUCAUCUACCAUCUUUGGAAGAUGGCCCAUCACCAUCCUUUGUUUUGA